Molecule: ribosomal RNA, 266 nt
Filed under: uncultured bacterium
Lineage: Bacteria
Description: partial 16S ribosomal RNA
Rfam family: Bacterial small subunit ribosomal RNA
Source: RNAcentral
GUCCACGCCGUAAACGAUGAGUACUAGGUGUAGGGGGUAUCGACCCCCUCUGUGCCGAAGCUAACGCGAUAAGUACUCCGCCUGGGGACUACGGCCGCAAGGCUAAAACUCAAAGGAAUUGACGGGGGCCCCGCACAAGCAGCGGAGCGUGUGGUUUAAUUCGAUGAUACGCGAAGAACCUCACCCAGGUUUGACAUGCAUGUGGUACUGAUGUGAAAGCUGAGGGACCCUUCGGGGAGCAUGCACAGGUGUUGCACGGCCGUCGU